This 361-nucleotide unclassified non-coding RNA is filed under the name uncultured bacterium. RNAcentral describes it as "contains 16S-23S intergenic spacer region". The record is from RNAcentral.
UCCCCGUUACCGGGGCAGUCUGAAUAGAAAAAUCCAACUAUUCAUAAGGGUUGCGCUCGUUGAUGGACUUAACCAAACAUCUCACGACACGAGCUGACGACGGCCAUGCAUCACCUGUCACCUUGCUCAAUAAAGCACUCUCGUCUUUCGACAAAAUUCAAGGGAUGUCAAGCCCUGGUAAGGUUUUUCGUUUAUCAUCGAAUUAAAGAACACGCUCCACCGCUUGUGCGGGUCCCCGUCAAUUCCUUUAUGUUUUAGCCUUGCGGCCGUACUCCCCAGGCGGGACGCUUAACGCGUUAGCUGCGCCACUGAUAAGCAUGCUUACCAACGGCUAGCAUCCAUCGUUUACGGCGUGGACUAC